GAUGAAGAACGUAGCGAAAUGCGAUAAGUAAUGUGAAUUGCAGAAUUCAGUGAAUCAUCGAAUCUUUGAACGCACAUUGCGCCCGCCAGUAUUCUGGCGGGCAUGCCUGUUCGAGCGUCAUUUCAACCCUCAAGCCCAGCUUGGUGUUGGGGAUCGGCACAGGCGCCCUCGGGCGCCCGCCGUCCCCUAAAUCUAGUGUCGGUCCCGCUGCAGCCUCCUCUGCGUAGUAGUUUUCUCCUCGCAAGGGCAGCUCGGUGGCGACCUCGCCGUAAAACCCCCAACUUCUGAAAGGUUGACCUCGAAUCAGGUAGGAAUACCCGCUGAACUUAAGCAUAUCAAUAAGCGGAGGA
This 350-nucleotide unclassified non-coding RNA is filed under the name soil metagenome. RNAcentral describes it as "partial contains 5.8S ribosomal RNA, internal transcribed spacer 2, and large subunit ribosomal RNA". The stretch from base 1 to 120 matches the Rfam family "5.8S ribosomal RNA", at positions 35 to 154 of the family's 154-position model. The record is from RNAcentral.